RNAcentral lists this ribosomal RNA (789 nucleotides) under uncultured bacterium. Its description in RNAcentral is "bacterial SSU rRNA". It matches the Rfam family "Bacterial small subunit ribosomal RNA", at positions 8 to 798 of the family's 1533-position model. The record is from RNAcentral.
AGAGUUUGAUCAUGGCUCAGGACGAACGCUGGCGGCGUGCUUAACACAUGCAAGUCGAACGGAAAGGCCCCUUCGGGGGUACUCGAGUGGCGAACGGGUGAGUAACACGUGGGUGAUCUGCCCUGCACUUUGGGAUAAGCCUGGGAAACUGGGUCUAAUACCGAAUAGGACCGCAUGCUUCAUGGUGUGUGGUGGAAAGCUUUUGCGGUGUGGGAUGGGCCCGCGGCCUAUCAGCUUGUUGGUGGGGUAAUGGCCUACCAAGGCGACGACGGGUAGCCGGCCUGAGAGGGUGUCCGGCCACACUGAGACUGAGAUACGGCCCAGACUCCUACGGGAGGCAGCAGUGGGGAAUAUUGCACAAUGGGCGCAAGCCUGAUGCAGCGACGCCGCGUGGGGGAUGACGGCCUUCGGGUUGUAAACCUCUUUCAGUAUCGGCGAAGCUCCAGGAUUUUUCUUGGGGUGACGGUAGGUACAGAAGAAGCACCGGCCAACUACGUGCCAGCAGCCGCGGUAAUACGUAGGGUGCGAGCGUUGUCCGGAAUUACUGGGCGUAAAGAGCUCGUAGGUGGUUUGUCACGUUGUCUGUGAAAACUCACGGCUUAACUGUGGGCGUGCGGGCGAUACGGGCAGACUGGAGUACUGUAGGGGAGACUGGAAUUCCUGGUGUAGCGGUGGAAUGCGCAGAUAUCAGGAGGAACACCGGUGGCGAAGGCGGGUCUCCGGGCAGUAACUGACGCUGAGGAGCGAAAGCGUGGGGAGCGAACAGGAUUAGAUACCCUGGUAGUCCAA